RNAcentral lists this ribosomal RNA (342 nucleotides) under Triticum aestivum (bread wheat). RNAcentral describes it as "partial small subunit ribosomal RNA". Lineage: Eukaryota; Viridiplantae; Streptophyta; Magnoliopsida; Poales; Poaceae. The record is from RNAcentral.
AUGUACAUGGAUAGAUAUCUAGAUGUUUCUUGGAGAGGUGUCAUGUCCUGCAUAUCGGAACCAGGUCUUUGUCUUGCACAGAUUUAUCAUUGGAACAUCUUUUCACGCUCUUCGCUGGAUAAAUUCCAUUUAGCUUUUCAUAAAACGUACAAGGCCCAUAAAUUCUGGAAGGUUUCGGACCCUCGGCUCCGGUCCUUACUUCGGGAUACUAUCACCAAGACAGUCAUUACAGAUUACUGCGACUACCUGAAGGACCAUCCAAAGUUAGAGAAACAUGUUAGGGGCGGAAGUAACAACCCUGACGUUUUGGAGGAGAUGCUGAGAGAGCUAUUUGAAGGAUGA